GACGAACGCUGGCGGCGCGCUUAACACAUGCAAGUCGAACGGAAAGGCCUGCUUUCCCUUGUGGAUUGCGGGUACUCGAGUGGCGAACGGGUGAGUAACACGUGAGUGAUCUGCCCCCAACUUGGGUAUAAGCCUGGGAAACUGGGUCUAAUUCCCGAUAGGACUGCAGGGUGGUGCCUGUGGUGGAAAACGAUUUUCUAGUGGUUGGGGAUGAGCUCGCGGCCUAUCAGCUUGUUGGUGGGGUAAUGGCCUACCAAGGCGGCGACGGGUAGCCGGCCUGGGAGGGUGGACGGGCACAUUGGGACUGAGAUACGGCCCAGAAUCCUACGGGAGGCAGCAGUGGGGAAUAUUGCACAAUGGGCGGAAGCCUGAUGCAGCGACGCCGCGUGGGGGAUGACGGCCUUCGGGUUGUAAACUCCUUUCGACCGCGAGGAAGCCACCUGGUUGGAAGGGUGGUGACGGUAGUGGUAGAAGAAGCACCGGCUAACUACGUG
This 494-nucleotide ribosomal RNA is filed under the name uncultured bacterium. Its description in RNAcentral is "partial 16S ribosomal RNA". It matches the Rfam family "Bacterial small subunit ribosomal RNA", at positions 28 to 507 of the family's 1533-position model. The record is from RNAcentral.